GACAGAGGGUGCAAACGUUGUUCGGAUUUACUGGGCGUAAAGCGCGUGUAGGCGGCUUGGCAAGUUGAAUGUGAAAGCCCACGGCUCAACCGUGGAAGCGCAUCCAAAACUGCUUCGCUUGAGUCUCGGAGAGGAAGGUGGAAUGCUUGGUGUAGAGGUGAAAUUCGUAGAUAUCAAGCAGAACACCUGCGGCGAAGGCGGCCUUCUGGACGAUGACUGACGCUGAGACGCGAAAGCGUGGGGAGCAAACGGG
RNAcentral lists this ribosomal RNA (253 nucleotides) under uncultured bacterium. RNAcentral describes it as "partial 16S ribosomal RNA". It matches the Rfam family "Bacterial small subunit ribosomal RNA", at positions 524 to 776 of the family's 1533-position model. The record is from RNAcentral.